CACACGCGCGAACAACGAACAAGACGAAGAAGAAGAAGAAGAAGAAGAAUGGCGAGCGCGAAAGUGAUGACACCCCCAACAACAACAACGGCGAUGGACGCUUCGACCGCGACG
This 114-nucleotide non-coding RNA is filed under the name Bathycoccus prasinos. The record is from RNAcentral. Lineage: Eukaryota; Viridiplantae; Chlorophyta; Mamiellophyceae; Mamiellales; Bathycoccaceae.